GAUGAACGCUAGCUACAGGCUUAACACAUGCAAGUCGAGGGGUAGCAGGGUAGCAAUACCGCUGACGACCGGCGCACGGGUGAGUAACACGUAUCCAACCUACCAUUCACACGGGGAUAGCCUUUCGAAAGAAAGAUUAAUACCCGAUAGUAUAGCGAGAGGGCAUCCUUUUGCUAUUAAAGAAUUUCGGUGUUUGAUGGGGAUGCGUUCCAUUAGAUUGUUGGUGAAGUAACGGCUCACCAAGUCUUCGAUGGAUAGGGGUUCUGAGAGGAAGGUCCCCCACAUUGGAACUGAGACACGGUCCAAACUCCUACGGAAGGCAGCAGUGAGGAAUAUUGGUCAAUGGACGAGAGUCUGAACCAGCCAAGUAGCGUGAAGGAUGAAGGCCCUAUGGGUCGUAAACUUCUUUUAUAGGGGAAUAAAGUGCGGAACGUGUUCCGCUUUGUAUGUACCCUACGAAUAAGGAUCGGCUAACUCCGUGCCAGCCGCCGCGGUAA
This 497-nucleotide ribosomal RNA is filed under the name uncultured bacterium. RNAcentral describes it as "partial 16S ribosomal RNA". It matches the Rfam family "Bacterial small subunit ribosomal RNA", at positions 28 to 523 of the family's 1533-position model. The record is from RNAcentral.